GAUGAACGCUGGCGGCGUGCCUAAUACAUGCAAGUCGAACGGAAGGUAGCAAUACCUUUAGUGGCGAACGGGUGAGUAACGCGUUGGUGACCUGCCCCGAAGCGUGGGAUAACAGUCCGAAAGGAUUGCUAAUACCGCAUGUGGUCCAAGAGACUAGAGGCUUAUGGACUAAAGGAGACAUUCACUUCGGGAGGGGCCUGCGUCCCAUCAGCUAGUUGGUAGGGUAACGGCCUACCAAGGCGAUGACGGGUAGGGGACCUGAGAGGGUGGCCCCCCACAAUGGAACUGAAAACACGGUCCAUACACCUACGGGUGGCAGCAGUAGGGAAUAUUGCAAAAUGGGCGCAAGCCCGAUGCAGCAACGCCGCGUGGGCGAUGAAGGCCUUCGGGUCGUAAAGCCCUUUUUGAGGGGAUGAGGAAGGACAGUACCCUCAGAAUAAGCCUCGGCUAACUACGUG
Molecule: ribosomal RNA, 458 nt
Filed under: uncultured bacterium
Lineage: Bacteria
Description: bacterial SSU rRNA
Rfam family: Bacterial small subunit ribosomal RNA
Source: RNAcentral